This 253-nucleotide ribosomal RNA is filed under the name uncultured bacterium. RNAcentral describes it as "partial 16S ribosomal RNA". It matches the Rfam family "Bacterial small subunit ribosomal RNA", at positions 524 to 776 of the family's 1533-position model. The record is from RNAcentral.
UACGUAGGGGGCAAGCGUUGUCCGGAAUCAUUGGGCGUAAAGAGCGUGUAGGCGGUCCGGUAAGUCGGCUGUGAAAGUCGGGGGCUCAACCCUCGGAUGCCGGUGGAUACUGUCGGGCUUGAGUACGGAAGAGGCGAGUGGAAUUCCUGGUGUAGCGGUGAAAUGCGCAGAUAUCAGGAGGAACACCGGUGGCGAAGGCGGGUCUCUGGGCCGUAACUGACGCUGAGGAGCGAAAGCGUGGGGAGCGAACAGG